AGUGAACGCUGGCGGCGUGCCUAAUACAUGCAAGUCGAACGGAAUUUAAAAGAGCUUGCUCUUUUAAAUUUAGUGGCGCACGGGUGAGUAAUAUAUAGCUAAUCUGCCCCUUGCUGGAGGACAACAGUUAGAAAUGACUGCUAAUACUCCAUACUCCUUUUUACCAUAAGAUAAAUCGGGAAAGAAUUUCGGCAAGGGAUGAGACUAUAUCGUAUCAGCUAGUCGGUGGGGUAACGGCCUACCGAGGCUAUGACGCGUAACUGGUCUGAGAGGAUGAUCAGUCACAUUGGAACUGAGACACGGUCCAAACUCCUACGGGAGGCAGCAGUAGGGAAUAUUGCGCAAUGGGGGAAACCCUGACGCAGCAACGCCGCGUGGAGGAUGACACUUUUCGGAGCGUAAACUCCUUUUGUUAGGGAAGAAUAAUGACGGUACCUAACGAAUAAGC
This 448-nucleotide ribosomal RNA is filed under the name Campylobacter gracilis. RNAcentral describes it as "bacterial SSU rRNA". It matches the Rfam family "Bacterial small subunit ribosomal RNA", at positions 29 to 491 of the family's 1533-position model. The record is from RNAcentral. Lineage: Bacteria; Pseudomonadati; Campylobacterota; Epsilonproteobacteria; Campylobacterales; Campylobacteraceae.